RNAcentral lists this ribosomal RNA (256 nucleotides) under uncultured bacterium. Its description in RNAcentral is "partial 16S ribosomal RNA". It matches the Rfam family "Bacterial small subunit ribosomal RNA", at positions 338 to 593 of the family's 1533-position model. The record is from RNAcentral.
CCUACGGGGGGCAGCAGUGGGGAAUAUUGCACAAUGGGCGCAAGCCUGAUGCAGCGACGCCGCGUGCGGGAUGGAGGCCUUCGGGUUGUAAACCGCUUUUGUUCAAGGGCAAGGCACGGUCUUUGGCCGUGUUGAGUGGAUUGUUCGAAUAAGCACCGGCUAACUACGUGCCAGCAGCCGCGGUAAUACGUAGGGUGCAAGCGUUAUCCGGAUUUAUUGGGCGUAAAGCGAGCGCAGGCGGUUGCUUAGGUCUGAU